UACGUAGGGGGCAAGCGUUGUCCGGAAUCAUUGGGCGUAAAGAGCGUGUAGGCGGCCCGGUAAGUCCGCUGUGAAAGUCCAGGGCUCAACCCUGGGAUGCCGGUGGAUACUGUCGGGCUCGAGUCCGGAAGAGGAGUGUGGAAUUCCUGGUGUAGCGGUGAAAUGCGCAGAUAUCAGGAGGAACACCGAUUGCGAAGGCAGCUCGCUGGGACGUAACUGACGCUGAGACGCGAAAGCGUGGGGAGCAAACAGG
This 253-nucleotide ribosomal RNA is filed under the name uncultured bacterium. RNAcentral describes it as "partial 16S ribosomal RNA". It matches the Rfam family "Bacterial small subunit ribosomal RNA", at positions 524 to 776 of the family's 1533-position model. The record is from RNAcentral.